Molecule: long non-coding RNA, 356 nt
Filed under: Malus domestica (apple)
Lineage: Eukaryota; Viridiplantae; Streptophyta; Magnoliopsida; Rosales; Rosaceae
Description: long non-coding RNA (MDOM_LNC000306)
Source: RNAcentral
AUCACACACACACAGAUCGAGCUUAAGGACAACACCAUCAUACUUCCCUCGACCUCACGAGUUUAGCCGUACCAUUUGUUUGAGGGGAAGACGUGUAGAACUCGAGAUACCCGAGCUCCGACGAGGGGUUUAAUUUUCUCCAAUGUGAUCGUGAAGGAUUUACCUAAUUUUGAGACUUAAGAGGGUACUUUUCUAGCUUCCCUAGCACUUUGGAACAAUUUUGGAGUAUUUUGGACAUCAGAAUAAGCUUGACCGUGGGUUUAUAGGUUUAGCUAGAAUUUCAAAGGAUUUAUCGACAACUUCUUGUCGGUUUUAGGACCCCAAAUAGGUAUGGUUGCAUUCUACUCUUCAAGAGU